GAUGAACGCUGGCGGCGUGCCUAAUACAUGCAAGUCGAGCGAACGGACGAGAAGCUUGCUUCUCUGAUGUUAGCGGCGGACGGGUGAGUAACACGUGGAUAACCUACCUAUAAGACUGGGAUAACUUCGGGAAACCGGAGCUAAUACCGGAUAAUAUUUUGAACCGCAUGGUUCAAAAGUGAAAGACGGUCUUGCUGUCACUUAUAGAUGGAUCCGCGCUGCAUUAGCUAGUUGGUAAGGUAACGGCUUACCAAGGCAACGAUGCAUAGCCGACCUGAGAGGGUGAUCGGCCACACUGGAACUGAGACACGGUCCAGACCCCCACGGGAGGCAGCAGUAGGGAAUCUUCCGCAAUGGGCGAAAGCCUGACGGAGCAACGCCGCGUGAGUGAUGAAGGUCUUCGGAUCGUAAAACUCUGUUAUUAGGGAAGAACAUAUGUGUAAGUAACUGUGCACAUCUUGACGGUACCUAAUCAGAAAGCCACGGCUAACUACGUG
RNAcentral lists this ribosomal RNA (497 nucleotides) under uncultured bacterium. Its description in RNAcentral is "partial 16S ribosomal RNA". It matches the Rfam family "Bacterial small subunit ribosomal RNA", at positions 28 to 507 of the family's 1533-position model. The record is from RNAcentral.